RNAcentral lists this non-coding RNA (787 nucleotides) under Chrysis ruddii. Lineage: Eukaryota; Metazoa; Arthropoda; Insecta; Hymenoptera; Chrysididae. The record is from RNAcentral.
AGAUUGUUGUAAUAAAAAUAAUAAAAUUAAUUAAUAAAUUUAAUUAUAGUUUAAGAAUUAAUUUUAAAAUUUUUUUAUAUAUAAUUUUUAGAGGUUAAAAUUAAAAAUAAUAUUGAUGUAGUAUAUAAAAUUAAUAAUAUUAAAUAAAUUUAAUUUUAGAAAUUUUUUUUUUAUUUAGAUAAAUAAUUGUGCCAGCAAUCGUGGUUAAACAAUUUAAAUAAAUUAAUUUAUUUAAGUUAAAAUAAAAUAUAAUUUUUGUAAUAAAUAAUAAAAUUAUUAGGUGAAAUUAAUUAAUUUUAUUUAAAUUAUAAAAUUUUUAAUUGAGUUUUUAAAAAAUUUAUAAAAACUAGGAUUAGAUACCCUAUUAUAAAUUUUAAAUGUAAAAUUUUAAUAUUAAAUGAUAAAUCAUUAAAUUUAAAUAAUUUGGCGGUAUUUUAAUUUUAUUAGAGGAAUUUGUUAAUUAAUUGAUAUUACCCGAUAAGUUAAACUUAAAUAAAAUUUUUAUAUUGUUGUUUUAAGAGUAUUUUUGAAGAAAUUGUUCAAAUUAUUUAUAAAAUAAUAAUUCAGAUCAAAAUGAAGUGUAUAUUUAAGAAUUAGUGAAUUACAAUAAAUUUGAUUUAUAUGAAUUAAAAAUUUAAAAAUUUUUAUGAAGGUGGAUUUAAAAGUAAAAUAAAAUAAUUAUUUUAUUUGAUUUAAAUUUUAAGAUAUGUACAAAUUGCCCGUCGUUCUCUUUGAAAAAGGAGGUAAGUCGUAACAAAGUAAAAGUACUGGAAAGUGUUUUUAGAAA